UACAGAGACUGCAAGCGUUAUUCGGAUUCACUGGGCGUAAAGGGUGCGCAGGCGGCCGUGUGUGUGAGGCGUGAAAGCCUGGAGCUUAACUCCAGAAUUGCACCUCAAACUACACGGCUAGAGCAUUGGAGAGGGUAGCAGAAUUCACGGUGUAGCAGUGAAAUGCGUAGAUAUCGUGAGGAAUACCAGAGGCGAAGGCGGCUACCUGGACAAUUGCUGACGCUCAGGCACGAAAGCGUGGGGAGCAAACGGG
RNAcentral lists this ribosomal RNA (253 nucleotides) under uncultured bacterium. RNAcentral describes it as "partial 16S ribosomal RNA". It matches the Rfam family "Bacterial small subunit ribosomal RNA", at positions 524 to 776 of the family's 1533-position model. The record is from RNAcentral.